RNAcentral lists this antisense RNA (69 nucleotides) under Micromonospora gifhornensis. RNAcentral describes it as "ASpks TB sRNA". It matches the Rfam family "ASpks TB sRNA". RNAcentral also lists the same sequence under 1 other name. Lineage: Bacteria; Bacillati; Actinomycetota; Actinomycetes; Micromonosporales; Micromonosporaceae. The record is from RNAcentral.
CUUCACCGAACCCAGCCACAGCGGCUCGGCGCGGUCCUGACCGUAGGUGGCGAGCAGGGCCGCCGCCUC